AACUAAAACUAAAACUGGCCUACAGAAAAAGAAAAGCCCACGAUGGUACCCACCCCACCCAAUACAAUACAUAUUCAUUUUUCCUAUUCUAAAAAGUUAAAAAUUAAAACCUAUUCCCAUCACCCUGUGCGUGACAUCUCUCCCCUCUCUUUCAAUUUCUUUUCUUUUUCUCCCCUCUGUACAGAACGCAUGGCCUCCUCUCUUUUCUAUUGUUCCACUUCCAUUCUUCAUAGAAAUCAAAUCUAAGAUUUCUUCAUAACCCACAAACUCUUGAAGAUAAAUUUACUCUUACAAACGUGGAAGCCACUGUGUGGAAGCAAUUGAAUUAAUUUUGAAAGUUAGGGUUUGUGCUCUAAGGAAGAGAAGAGUAGCACCCCUUCAGAUUUGCUCUUUGGAUGUUAUUGAGUUCAGAUACGCUACUAGUGGUUCGUUCGUGAGUCCGGAAGUUGUUGGGAGCAAUCGUGUUGAUUCUUUGUAACUAAUAAAGAUUGAAAUAUGCAGUUAUGUGUUGAUUACCAAGGGUUGGGUAAGGUGACAACAAAGAAUAAAUGUUGUUUACCUCGCGUAGAUGAGUUGUUGAUCGGCUGCAAAAAAAAAUAUCUGAAUAGUUUGAAGAAAAAAAAAAGACUUGCGAUCUUGGAACGCACUUGAUCAGGUAUACUUUGGGAGACAAGAGAAAUGGUUUGCACACUAAGACCACCGACUAAAGUGGUGCAUAUGAGAAUUUCUAAGAGUUGAUGUGUCGUUCUAUGGUGUGACAGUUAGUUACUUGAUAUUCGUGUGUUUUAGCUUAUUGACAAUGGUUGGUAAUUUGUGUUACAAUAUGUGAAGUAGGUGGUUUCACAAGGGUCAAUGGUUUGGAUGGUCCUAUUUUGCGGAGUUGUGUGUGAGGUUGAAUGUAAGUUGUUGUCUUCUUGGUGGGUAGCAUCAUUACUGUUAAUAGUGAGACGACGGAAAAAAAAAUUAAUUGAAUAUUAAGAAGAAAGACAUUUCAGAGACGGAUUUCAUAAUGUUGUUCUGGUUAUAAUUAGUUAUUAGUCACGCCUUUGGACUUAGUGAUGUUACUGGUGUUUUAAGGAUUCAAUGGACGAUCAUUCUGUGAGCAUUUUGUGACUGUGUUUAUUGAUGAUAUUACUGUAUAUUUUGAGGAUGUAAAAAAAAAGAGCUAUAGAAGCUUGUUUAUUGUAGAGUUUAGUGUGGGCAUGCCCAUUCCAACUCAUUGCUAACUUAUGUGCAAAUUGGUUUUAGUUUGACGGAUGAUUUGGUUGAGGAUAUUGAACAUGAUCAAUAGGUGGUGAAGAUGGUAGAGGAUUUUUUUUAAGGUGAAAAGGGUCCACAUUUUCUAGUAGACUCUGAUGUAUUUAUGACUUUAAUGUCGGUUGUGUGUGUCUAAUACAAAUAGUUUGUGGAGGAAAAUAUUAGAGGAUGCUUAUUAUUAUUUUUAGAUCAUACAUCCAGGUUUUAAUAAAUGAAUUAAGAUAUGAAGAAAUUUUAAUUAUGGGAAAGGAUGAAAGAGGACAUAGAAAAUUUGUUUCUGAAGGUUUAGCAUGUCAGCAGGUGAUGGAUGAGCUUAAAAGCAAGCAAUGCUGCUUCAAUCUAAUAAGAUACCAUAGGAAAAGUGAGAAGGUGUUGUUAUGAACUUGGUGAGAGGGUUACUUAGGAAUUUAAUGCGUUAUGAUUUUGUAUCGGUGAUUAUGGAUCAAUUGACUGAGUAUGUACGCUUUUUCCUAUAAAGAGUUCUUAUACUACGACAUGGUAUACUAAGAUUUUGUUGGAUGAAAUUGUUUGUUUGCAUGGUGUAAGCAUGUCUAUAAUUUCAAAUCAAGGAGCUUAAUGGUAUGCAUUUUUUUUGAAGACUUUCAAGGUCGUUGUGGGGUCAUAUUUAAAUUUGAGUAAUACUUUCUAUCCUUAAAUUGAUGGCUAACUUAGGAGGAUUAUUCAGAUCUUGAAGAAUAUGUUUCGUGCUUAUGUUUUAGGCUUUAGAGGGAGUUGAGAGCAGACUUUGUAAUUAAUGAAGUUCGCUUAUAGUAGCAAGCUAUCAAUCUAGUAUUCGGAGGACACCAUUUGAGGCCUUGUAUAGUAGGCGAUCACUAAUAGGUUGGUGUGAAGAUAAGGAAGCUAAGCUUGUUGGUCCAAAACUUGUCAAAAAUGUAGUAAAGAAAAUUUAGUUGGUUCACGAUUGUUUGGUUACCUUAUAGUGGAAGUAUGAAACUGGUAGGAGGUGACGACCUAAAGGUUGCAGUUAGAGAUCAUGUGUUGUUACGCGUUUCUCCAAUGAAAUGAGUGAUACUGUUUAGUAAGAAAGGGAAGUUAAGUUCAGGGUUCAUGGGAUCAUUUGAGAUAUUUGAGAGGGUGGCUUUGUAGCUUAUCAAUUGAUGUUUUUCUCAGAUGGUUUUGAAGUUCACCCAGUUUCAUGUCUAUGCUUUACAAAUACCUAUAUGUUCCUUCUCAUGUUAUAUGUCAUGAGAAUGCACAACUAGAUGAGCAUUUAUAUCAUAUGGAGCAUCAAGUAGCAAUAACUGGUACACGAAUGAAAAGUCUAUGUUCCAAGGAAUGUUUGGUAAAGAGAUGACUCUGAAACCGAGGUAGUCAUGCCCAAGACUUAAAAUUCGAGGACGAAUUUUCUUAAGGAGGGAAGAUUGAAACGAUCCGUGUAUAUAUAUAUAUAUAUAUAUAUAUAUAUAUAUAUAUAUACAAUAGUGAUUAUAUAUAUAUAUAAAAAAAAAACUAAAACUAAAACUGGCCUACAGAAAAAGAAAAGCCCACGAUGGUACCCACCCCACCCAAUACAAUACAUAUUCAUUUUUCCUAUUCUAAAAAGUUAAAAAUUAAAACCUAUUCCCAUCACCCUGUGCGUGACAUCUCUCCCCUCUCUUUCAAUUUCUUUUCUUUUUCUCCCCUCUGUACAGAACGCAUGGCCUCCUCUCUUUUCUAUUGUUCCACUUCCAUUCUUCAUAGAAAUCAAAUCUAAGAUUUCUUCAUAACCCACAAACUCUUGAAGAUAAAUUUACUCUUACAAACGUGGAAGCCACUGUGUGGAAGCAAUUGAAUUAAUUUUGAAAGUUAGGGUUUGUGCUCUAAGGAAGAGAAGAGUAGCACCCCUUCAGAUUUGCUCUUUGGAUGUUAUUGAGAUACGCUGCUAGUGGUUCGUUCGUGAGUCCGGAAGUUGUUGGGAGCAAUCGUGUUGAUUCUUUGUAACUAUUUCCAGGCAACUAAGUAGCAGACUGUUGUCAGGUUCAGAUCAUUCAGCUCAUUUCGUUUAUAGGCCUCUUUUGGCAGGUGGUCAUAUUUGUAUCUUUGUUGCUCUUUGUUAUUCUGCAGCUAUAGGGGAGUCUUGGGUGAAUUCAGUUUGAGUUGUUAUGUAUUGUUUUAAUUUAGGAAUUAACACUUUAGUGCUGGAUUUGGAAUUCGUGUAUUUUUAGAAUUCUAGUUAUGAUAAAUCUCAAUUGAUAGAUUUUAUUAUUUUGGAGAUAUUGAUAUUACAGGAGAGAUUAUUUUUUUAUAAA
Long non-coding RNA from Lotus japonicus, 3506 nucleotides. RefSeq lists it as uncharacterized. NCBI's taxonomy places the organism in Eukaryota, Viridiplantae, Streptophyta, Magnoliopsida, Fabales, Fabaceae. The transcript is spliced from 5 exons. The record is from RefSeq and is a predicted model, not a curated record.